GUCCUGUGUGGGAUGAUGUUGUCCUCUGUUUCUUUGUGUUUUAUUUAUAUUUACAGAUGCAUAUGAAAUUCCAUCAGCUUCAUUCUCCUGAAACAGUAGAGGACACUGUUGUGUUUCCUCCUGGAUGAACUUUCACUGAUGAUCCUUCAGUGACAAUCAUUAA
RNAcentral lists this long non-coding RNA (163 nucleotides) under Sinocyclocheilus grahami. RNAcentral's name for it is "lncRNA (ENSSGRG00000019819.1)". Lineage: Eukaryota; Metazoa; Chordata; Actinopteri; Cypriniformes; Cyprinidae. The record is from RNAcentral.